Molecule: long non-coding RNA, 2295 nt
Organism: Oryzias javanicus (javanese ricefish)
Lineage: Eukaryota; Metazoa; Chordata; Actinopteri; Beloniformes; Adrianichthyidae
Source: Ensembl
CGCCAUAAAAGAUUCAAGCGUGUAUUUUUCUUACUUACGCCGGUGCGACGUUGAUGCUCCGCUAGAGUACUGUUCCAUCGUGCACUCUUUCACUUAUUUUGAGAAGGCAGGAUUAAUUACACCAGGAUGGGACGUGAAUCAAGGUAUGCGUAAGUGACUUCUUAAAUAUUUACUUUUUUAUUUUCAUAUAUAGGAAGCUGCCUUUAAAUUAGCGUUGUUUUGAGUGGCUAACAUUAGCAUGCUAGCUAAACAUGAUGUUUUUGUCUGUAACAUAAGCCUUCGUGCGUAUUUCCUUAUGAAAUAGUUUGUCGAUGAGGGCUAACGUUAUUUUUUGUUUGGAUUUAGGCAUUAUAGGAAACGCUCUGCGUCUCGGGGACGGUCGGGUUCCCGCUCGAAGAGUCGGUCCCCCGAAAAACGCUCCAAAAAAGAUGACAGAGACCGAAGCAGGAGGGACAGGUCACGGAGCCGCGACCGUCGGAGGUCCCGAUCCAGAGACAGAAAACGAGCCAGGCGCUCUCGAAGCAGAGACAGGAGGAGGUCCAGGAGCCGUGACAGAAAGAGGUCAUCCAGCAGGAGUCGAGCCCGCAGGUCCCGAUCCGGCAGCGCAGGAAAAAGCAAGAAAACAGAUGAAAAGUGAGAAUUAUUAGGAAACCAAAACCUUUGGAGUCAUAGAAGUCUUUCAUCAAAUUCUUGACCAAAUUCAAAAAUUAUUUUGAUUAAUUUCAGCAACGGAAAAAUGCUAUAAAACAUAUCAAAUCUGUUUAAGAUAAUUAAUAAAUUAAUCGGAAAAUAUUUCUUGAUGUUAUGAUGGCUCCUAAUCAUAAAUAGACCUAUUUCUAGCCAUAAAUAAAAUGUGCAUUGAAAACAUUAAUUAUGAUUGAGUGAAAAAAAAAGUAACAACUAAAGAAAUUCAGAGCAAAUAAAAAAAAAUAAAGCAAAAGAUAGGUUGGUUCAAACAAAAUCAACUUUAUAAUUUGCUUAUGAUCACAAAUUUUCACUCUCUAUCAGUCAAAUUAUACUGCUCACAAAAAUUAAAGGAACACUUUUUUUUUUGUUUAUUGGGCCUGGCAUGAAUUGAAUUAAACCUGUCUGAUCAUUUUCCUGUUGGUUAAUCAGCUGAGGGCCUCGUUAUUCAAUUCCAGCUGUAUUGGUGUUCAUGAAUUAACAACAGGUGCGCUUCAGUGGCAACAAUUAGAAAACCCUCCAAACAGGACUGGUGUUACAUGUGGAGGCCAUUUCAAGUUUGAAUGAAUGAAUGAAUGAAAUGGUUUAUUUCAAGCAAUCAGGUCAUGAUACAUGAAAUAACAUCACAUAAUGAAUCACAAGUAGAUCGCUUGAAAAGGAGUGGAGGGAAGCGAAUUUAUAUAAUCCCACCUCGGCUCGACCAUUUUCUCUACAUAAUCGAUAUCCAGUUCAGGAUUUAAUAUCAAAUAUUAAUAGAUUCAGGUUAUUAAGAAUCAUUAAUAUCAUUGAUGUAAUCAAAUGCUUGUUGCUUGAAAAUACUUGUUGAGAUUGUAUUCAAAGAAUUAUAAUAAUACAAAAAGUAAUAAGUAAAUCAUCUUCAUUUGCUAAUUCAGAAAAAAAUCUAAAUAUUCUCAUUAAGAAAAAGAGACAAUUGGUGCAGAUUGUAUGUAUCAAAGAAUUAUUAAAAAAUCAAAAUGUACUAAUUAAAAAAAACAAAACAAUUUGGUUGAAUGUCUCUACCCAAACAAUCAGGAACAGACUUCAUGAAGGUGGCCUGAGGGCCCCACGUCCUGUAGUGGGCCCUGUGCUCACUGCCCAGCACCGUGGAGCUCCACUGGCAUUUGCUCAAGAACACCAGAAUUGGCAGGUCCGCCACUGGCGCCCUGUUCUUUUCACAGACGAGAGCAGGUUCACUCUGAGCACCUAUGAUAGACGUGAAAGAGUCUGGAGAAGACGAGGAGAACGCUAUGCUGCCUGCAACGUGGUUCAACAUGACAGGUUUGGUGGUGGAUCAGUGAUGGUCUGGGGAGGCAUAUCCAUGGAGGGACGCACAGACCUCUACUGCCUAUGCUGCUCUGACUGCCAUAAGGUAUCCAGAUGAAAUCCUUGAACCCAUUGUCAGACCCUACGCUGGUGCAGUAGGUCCUGGUUUCCUCCUAAUACACGACAAUGCCCGGCCUCACGUGGCAAGAGUCUGCAGGCAGUACCUGGAGGAUGAAGGAACUGAAACAAUUGAAUGGCCUUCACCAUCCCUGACUUAAACCCAAUAGAACAUCUCUGGGACAUUAUUUUUGGGUCCAUUAGGCGCCGCCAGGUUGUUCCUCAGACUGA